AGCGAACGCUGGCGGCAGGCCUAACACAUGCAAGUCGAACGAACCUUUCGGGGUUAGUGGCGGACGGGUGAGUAACACGUGGGAACGUGCCUUUAGGUUCGGAAUAACUCAGGGAAACUUGUGCUAAUACCGAAUGUGCCCUUCGGGGGAAAGAUUAAUCGCCUUUAGAGCGGCCCGCGUCUGAUUAGCUAGUUGGUUGAGGUAAUGGCUCACCUAGGCGACGAUCAGUAGCUGGUCUGAGAGGAUGAUCAGCCACAUUGGGACUGAGACACGGCCCAAACUCCUACGGGAGGCAGCAGUGGGGAAUCUUGCGCAAUGGGCGAAAGCCUGACGCAGCCAUGCCGCGUGAAUGAUGAAGGUCUUAGGAUUGUAAAAUUCUUUCACCGGGGACGAUAAUGACGGUACCCGGAGAAGAAGCCCCGGCUAACUUCGUG
RNAcentral lists this ribosomal RNA (434 nucleotides) under uncultured bacterium. RNAcentral describes it as "partial 16S ribosomal RNA". It matches the Rfam family "Bacterial small subunit ribosomal RNA", at positions 29 to 507 of the family's 1533-position model. The record is from RNAcentral.